This 76-nucleotide small RNA is filed under the name Flavobacterium succinicans. RNAcentral describes it as "Flavo-1 RNA". It matches the Rfam family "Flavo-1 RNA". The record is from RNAcentral. Lineage: Bacteria; Pseudomonadati; Bacteroidota; Flavobacteriia; Flavobacteriales; Flavobacteriaceae.
CUCUAACCCCGAUAGGAGCGGCAUCCUUGCUGGGCGGGGUUCGCCCAGCAAGAUAUAGCGGAUAGCGGGACUUUGC